AUGCUAGUCGCACGAGCGCACCCUCGUCCCUGUUGCCAGCAUUCAUUGGGACUCUGGGAGACUGCCGGGGUCAACUCGGAGGAAGGGGGGGAUGACAUCAGUCAUCAUGCCCCUUAUGUCUCGGGCUGCAAACAUGCUACAAUGGGCGGUACAAAGCGCUGCGACAUCGUGAGAUGAAGCGAAUCUCAAAAAGCCGGUCUCAGUUCGGAUCGGGGUCUGCAACCCGGCCCCGUGAAGCCGGAGUCGCUAGUAAUCGCGGAUCAGCAACGCCCCGGUGAAUACGUUCCCGGGCCUUGUAC
This 299-nucleotide ribosomal RNA is filed under the name uncultured bacterium. RNAcentral's name for it is "partial 16S ribosomal RNA". It matches the Rfam family "Bacterial small subunit ribosomal RNA", at positions 1072 to 1386 of the family's 1533-position model. The record is from RNAcentral.